This is a long non-coding RNA of Sorex fumeus (smoky shrew), 963 nucleotides long. RefSeq lists it as uncharacterized. Lineage: Eukaryota; Metazoa; Chordata; Mammalia; Eulipotyphla; Soricidae. The transcript has 6 exons. The record is from RefSeq and is a predicted model, not a curated record.
GGGGCUCCCGUCGGCUCCCGGCUGCCCUUUCCCUUGCAGCCUCUGAGCUGGCUGGAGUUCCCGGGCCGAUCUCCGGACACGUGCGAAGGGCCAGCUGUAGACUUCAGCCAGAUGUGGUGCCAGGAUGAUUUGAAAGUAGGGCAUCCUUGGCCCUCCUGAAGCAGUAAUUAGUGGCAAGUGGACAGCUUAUAUGAUGCUUUCAGAUGGCCUUCACCUGAGAGAACCACACCUACACUGGAGCUUCAGCCACCUGACAGCUGUGUGAUUGAUUGUAAUAUAUGUCGUCAUUUUGUCAUGUUCAAAGAAAGUGACAGUGAACUUUUGCAAUGAAAACUUGACUCAUCUCAAAAUUCAAUCAGGAAAAAGAAACCCAGAGGAAUAAGUUCUUCUGGCCCCAAAGGGAUGCAAAAAGGUGGCUCUGUGCCUAGGAAUUCACACAAAGGAAAACAAGCUGAUGCUGCAGUCCUCAGAUGACUGAUUAUUUUUACCCUCUGAGCUCAGAGAAGAGGUGAAUUCUUUACCAGCUGCUGACUGAAAGGAAGAACCAGGCCCCAGUACUAGUGUCCUACAAGCCGAAGGAGUGGAGUUCAACAGUGAUUUCCAAAUGCUGCUCCACCAAACUUUUUUACAGGUCCUAGAAAAAGUUAUUGUGCUUACACAUGGUACACCUCAAUCAUGUGUGGAACUGUUAGAAUAUUUUUAGAAUAAAUGUUUCUUAUUUCUGCCUUAGCAGUCUACAAAUACAUUUCCCCAAUUUUCACUGGUUUGCAGGUGUAUUAAGUUUAUAGGUAUGUUGGGUACUUCACUAAGGGAAAAGACCUGUCCCAGAAUUUUCAAAAGAUUGAUCAUCUAAGUUAUUCUUUAAUGAGUUUACAGCUUCUUGCACAAAGGAUUUGGGGCACACCUGGCCGCGCUCAGGUAUCAUAUGUGGAGCUGGGAUCAAACCAGGUUGACCAUGCUCAA